RNAcentral lists this transfer RNA (64 nucleotides) under Mogannia minuta. RNAcentral describes it as "tRNA-Thr". Lineage: Eukaryota; Metazoa; Arthropoda; Insecta; Hemiptera; Cicadidae. The record is from RNAcentral.
GUUUUAAUAGUUUAAAUUAAAAAUUUAGAUCUUGUAAAUCUAAGAUAAAUUGUAUUUUAAAACU